Long non-coding RNA from Myotis davidii, 1785 nucleotides. RefSeq lists it as uncharacterized. The record is from RefSeq and is a predicted model, not a curated record. NCBI's taxonomy places the organism in Eukaryota, Metazoa, Chordata, Mammalia, Chiroptera, Vespertilionidae. The transcript has 4 exons.
GACCCCUGGGGGAACCGGUAGGGAAACCGAGGUCCCCAAGCGCAGGGACCAGGCGCCCCUUUCUCUCCCUCGGCAGCUGGAGACACAGCUGUGCUGCGUCCUUGCCCUGAGGGUUCCCCGGGCACCCGGCUCGCGGACGAAUUUCCUCAGUUCGGGGGACUUUUACGAGCAGCUGCUCCGGUUCCGUCUGUGGUUCCCAGGGGUCGCCACGCCGCACCCAGGUUGUGAGGGACCCGCCUUCUUUGAGCGAGUCAUUCAUCCAGUUACAGUCCCGCCAGGCCCUCUGCAAUGAGAGCAAACCCAGAGGCCUGCUUUCAUGAACUUGAUCAUCUGCUGAGGGAGCCAUUGGUGAAACACCUAACCGUUCAAGUGAAAAUGUCCAACGUUGACAAAUUUUAAUAAGGAAGAGGUCCAGAGUGCUAGGCGUCUAAACAAGGAACCUGCUCCAGACUUGGGGGGCCAAGGAAAUGAUGCUGGAUGCUGGGAGCUGAGCAGGCGUUAACCACACACAGAGGAGAAGGCCAUGGCAAGAGAGAGCCUGGCCUGGUGAGAGAACAGCAAGAGCUGUGUGCCAAGGCCCGAGAGUGGAGGACAGUGGAGCAGGUGAGGCCACAGCCAUCCACAAGGACCGCGGGCCGUGGGAGAGACUGUGGGCCAGAUCCUAAGAGGAAUGGGGAGCCACUGACGGAUUUUAACCCAAACGGGGACACCUGUGUUUCCAAAAGAUGUUGGAAGGAGCCAGAAUGUAUGUGUCCAGAGGAGAUGAGCAGGCUAUGGAGCAUUUUCAAAAAUCACUGGAAUCAUUUGUUCUUUAAAGUCUAGGAAUCUCACCUCCUCACCUUGGCUGUGAGGUCUUCUGAGGCAAGAAUGAUGCCUGUUCUUUCUUGGGCAUGUCCUCCCAGCCUGGCCAGCCAGAGGCCUGGACACCUAAGAGCUGCCGGCCUUUCCUUGAACUCUGAGGGCUUCUGUGGAACAGAGAGCCCUAAGGGAGUAACAGCUUGCUCCCCAGUGUCUGCAAGAGGCUCCCAAGCAACCACCUUGCACCCUGGAGCCCUUCCCAGCGGUGGGAGGCUGGACAAGGCCAGGACACCAUUAAGGAAUCCCUGACUGGGGUGAGGAAUCUCGGGGCCAGCUGGCCUUGCUGCUUCUGGUUCCACACUGAGCCUGGAUCCUAUCCACUUACUAUCCAAAUCCAAUGUAUGCCCGUCUCUUGUCCUGUGGUAUCCCAGGGCAGAGGCCUCAUAUAGCACAUCUCUGUAGCCUGAAGCUAGCUCAGAACAACCAUAGGAAUUGUAUGCAGAACAGAUCUGCACCUAUGCACAGCUCACACCAACAUCCCUAGGCCCAGAGCCCAAGCCCAGCCUGAUAGCAGUCUCCACCUCUCUCCCCCAGCUCAGAACCCUCACUUAGUAAGUUUCAUUAACUGUUUAGAGCCCAUCAGGUAAUAAAUUAUCCCCUUAUUUGCUCCCUAAAGGAGCCAGGCUGGGCCAGAUAUCCUCAAACUGAAGUGUUGGGAAGAAAUGGUACUCCCCUGUCAGAGGAGGGAGCCCCCACAGGAGGCCAUGCUAUUCGGAAACUUCUCUCUUCCCACAUGGUUCCCAGUCCCUGCCUGGCCCAAGCCUAAGUCCCAGCAGACCACAGGCCAACUUGGGUCUUUUCCAUGUCUUGCCGGAUCUCAGCCUCCAUGAAAAGGCUCUGGAAGGACUAAGAAUCUCAGGCUGGGCCAGCUAGAUAAGCCCAGAGGGACAUUGCCACUGGGGCCCAAAGAGGGCCAAACAGGCACCA